Molecule: non-coding RNA, 30 nt
Filed under: Homo sapiens (human)
Lineage: Eukaryota; Metazoa; Chordata; Mammalia; Primates; Hominidae
Source: RNAcentral
UAAAGGAUUGUGGAGACCAAGUUUGAUUGG